RNAcentral lists this ribosomal RNA (492 nucleotides) under uncultured bacterium. RNAcentral describes it as "partial 16S ribosomal RNA". It matches the Rfam family "Bacterial small subunit ribosomal RNA", at positions 29 to 507 of the family's 1533-position model. The record is from RNAcentral.
AGUGAACGCUGGCGGUAGGCCUAACACAUGCAAGUCGAACGGCAGCACAGUAAGAGCUCGCCCCUACGGGUGGCGAGUGGCGGACGGGUGAGGCAUACAUCGGCAUCUACUUUUUCGUGGGUGACAUCGUAGGGCAACUUAUGCUAAUACCGCAUAUGUUCUACGGGUGAAAGCAGGAGUUCUUCAGACUUUUCGCGUCUCUAUUAGCCGAUGUCGGAUUAGCUAGUUGGCUGGGUAAAGGCCCACCUAGGCGACGAUCCGUAGCUGGUCUGAGAGGAUGAUCAGCCACACUGGAACUGAGACACGGUCCAGACUCCUACGGGAGGCAGCAGUAGGGAAUAUUGGGCAAAGGGCGCAAGCCUGAUCCAGCCAUGCCGCGUGGGUGAAGAAGGCCUUCGGGUUGUAAAGCCCUUUUGUUGGGAAAGAAAAGCAGCAGGUUAAUACCCCGCUGUUCUGACGGUACCCAAAGAGUAAGCACCGGCUAACUUCGUG